UUGUAUAAGGGCACGUUACGUAUGAGGGCUUUAGAAGCCAGCGGGCUACAAAUGCAGUUCCUUGCCGCACUGAAAACAUUGAUUUAACCGCCAACUCGGACUGUGAACCAACCAUGACAACGAACAGGGAGAAAGUAAUUGGAAGUCAAGUCAUUUCAGCCGAACUUGUGGCUGGACUACUACUCAGCAUGGCGUAUAGGAUGUGUUCCAGUUUGGCUUUUUCCUCAGAGGGGGGAAGCGUCAGUGACGAAAGCGCGCAGUUUGAAGUAACGCGCUCACUCGUAUGUGUGUGGGUUGCCAGUAAUUAAGUUCAUUUUCUUCAAAAGCAACAACCAUCCAAUUUCUCUGUCUGCUAAUUCCGUCUCGAGGCUUGUUGCCUUCCUUUCACUGUUGGGAGUCUGCAGAGAGGCACACGUUCAAGGAACAGACUGCAGCCAUGUGUGUACUGUAACAUGAUGUGUGCAUUUUAUUAUAUUAAGUCACUUUGGUAUAGUAAUCAUCUAAACAUAAAUGUAAAAUGCAGUGCUCUCUGUUGCAUGUAAUGCCUUAAAAAAUCAAAUGUUUGUUACAUGCCAGUUAAAUCCAUAAAUCUGGACUUUUUCUCUCCAGCUUCCCAUGGUGGAUGUGGCGGUGUUCUUAUUCUUUCUUCUAAGCAGUUUGAUUCUUUUGAUCUUGGAUCACAAUCAGUUGAAAGGCUCUUUGAAACGAUCUGAACUGCUCACUAAGCCCCAGAGGUUUUUCCUUCAAAUUGAUUUUUUUGCCAACUUCAUUUGUGGCCUCAUGUGGUUGGUUUUUCCAGGAUGGCUUCUUGGGUCACAGAUUAAUGGAUCUGAGGAUCAUCUUUAUCUCACUCGGGCAUUUGGAGCCAUGAUGGUUGGAGACAGCUUUGUUUCUUUUACCACUCAGAAACAAAUGGGAUCCAAUGAGGUAUCUGUCUUCAGCAGCCGAGCUGUGGUAUGUCAUAUUACAACAUAUUACAACUUUUUAACACUGAUUUUGCUCCAACAUGAUUACAUAUGAUUAACAAUCCUUUUGUGUUCAAAAACUGGAUACAACUUCUGUGUUGGUCAAAAUGACUUACAUUGGUUUCCAUUCCAUUACCAAAAAUCAGCACUAUGAAAAAUACUAAAGAGUCACCUAAAAACACAAACCUCUAUUGUUGCUUGUCAGAGACUAAAAAAUAUAAAAUGUGAGAAAUGUAAUAAGUCUCUUCUAUUUUUAUGGUGUUAUUUCUAUUGUGUUAGGGGUAUACAUUUAUUAUACAGUAUA
Molecule: long non-coding RNA, 1269 nt
Organism: Sinocyclocheilus anshuiensis
Lineage: Eukaryota; Metazoa; Chordata; Actinopteri; Cypriniformes; Cyprinidae
Exons: 4
Source: RefSeq, a predicted model, not a curated record